CGGUGGGGCGUCUUCUCCGACCUCAUGAGCUCGGCUUGGCACAGGGCCUGCUUGAGUUGCUGCAGGAGCUGGUGUGCGAGUGAUCAAAUGCCAGAUGUUCUUGAGAGGCACCACCACGCAGAUCAUGAACGCUAUCCAAAGCUUUACUUGUAGAUAGUUUCAUACCAUUUGCUUGUCGAUAGUUUCCAAGUUCCACGCAAAAGAUCCA
Molecule: long non-coding RNA, 208 nt
Organism: Selaginella moellendorffii
Lineage: Eukaryota; Viridiplantae; Streptophyta; Lycopodiopsida; Selaginellales; Selaginellaceae
Exons: 3
Source: RefSeq, a predicted model, not a curated record